RNAcentral lists this transfer RNA (71 nucleotides) under Loxodonta africana (African savanna elephant). It matches the Rfam family "tRNA". Rfam says of the family: Transfer RNA (tRNA) molecules are approximately 80 nucleotides in length. Their secondary structure includes four short double-helical elements and three loops (D, anti-codon, and T loops). Further hydrogen bonds mediate the characteristic L-shaped molecular structure. tRNAs have two regions of fundamental functional importance: the anti-codon, which is responsible for specific mRNA codon recognition, and the 3' end, to which the tRNAs corresponding amino acid is attached (by aminoacyl-tRNA synthetases). tRNAs cope with the degeneracy of the genetic code in two manners: having more than one tRNA (with a specific anti-codon) for a particular amino acid; and 'wobble' base-pairing, i.e. permitting non-standard base-pairing at the 3rd anti-codon position. The record is from Rfam by way of RNAcentral. Lineage: Eukaryota; Metazoa; Chordata; Mammalia; Proboscidea; Elephantidae.
CCAUUGGUGGUUCAGUGGUAGAAUUCUUGCCUGCCACGCUGGAGACCCAGGUUUGAUUCCUGGCCAGUGUA